This 126-nucleotide unclassified non-coding RNA is filed under the name uncultured fungus. Its description in RNAcentral is "sequence contains ITS1". The stretch from base 1 to 107 matches the Rfam family "5.8S ribosomal RNA", at positions 50 to 154 of the family's 154-position model. From Rfam's summary of the family: 5.8S ribosomal RNA (5.8S rRNA) is a component of the large subunit of the eukaryotic ribosome. Lineage: Eukaryota; Fungi. The record is from RNAcentral.
GAAAUGCGAUACUUGGUGUGAAUUGCAGAAUCCCGUGAACCAUCGAGUCUUUGAACGCAAGUUGCGCCCGAAGCCAUUAGGCCGAGGGCACGCCUGCCUGGGUGUCACGCAUCGAUGAAGAACGCA